AAGUCGUAACAAGGUUUCCGUAGGUGAACCUGCGGAAGGAUCAUUAUCGUGGGGCUCCGGCCCCGUCGAGAUAGAACCCUUGCCUUUUGAGUACCCCUUUUCCGUUUCCUCGGCGGGUUCGCCCGCCGGUGGAGGCGCCAAAAAACACUUUGCAGUACCUGUAACCGUCUGAGAAACAAACAAAAAAUCAAAACUUUCAACAACGGAUCUCUUGGUUCUG
Molecule: unclassified non-coding RNA, 220 nt
Filed under: Sporormiella isopartis
Lineage: Eukaryota; Fungi; Ascomycota; Dothideomycetes; Pleosporales; Sporormiaceae
Description: Preussia isomera partial internal transcribed spacer region
Rfam family: Eukaryotic small subunit ribosomal RNA (bases 1-46)
Source: RNAcentral